This 730-nucleotide ribosomal RNA is filed under the name Odontoglaja guamensis. Its description in RNAcentral is "small subunit ribosomal RNA". The record is from RNAcentral. Lineage: Eukaryota; Metazoa; Mollusca; Gastropoda; Cephalaspidea; Aglajidae.
UUUACUUUGUUGUGAUACUAUUAGAAAAACUCGUGAAAUUAGUAUGGUAGAUAAGCGUAAGAACACGAACCCAGCUAACGGUGUUAAACAAUAUUAGAAAUAAUAAUUUAGUUGACGAAUUAAAAUUUGACUUAUCGGGGUGCCAGCAGUCGCGGUUAAACCUCCAAAAUUUAGUUCUAUAAUCCUAGGUAUAAGGAAAUUUGCUUACAAGUAGCAUCUCUUAGUGAAAUAAAUAAGAUAUUAAAGAAUUUCCAUAAAGCAAAAAGAUAACCAAAAGAAAGAUCAAACUAGGAUUAGAUACCCUACUAUCCCCUCCAAACAAAAGUACCUAAAACAUUACUUUCUUGUUAUUAGAUUAAAAUUUAAAUGACAUGGCGGUGUUCUAGAUAUUCAGGGGAACUUACCAGAUAAUUGAUACUCCCCAAAAAGAUCUACUCUAGUUUAAAACUCAUAUAUCGUCGUUUAAUUAUACCUUAAAGGUAUAAUAACAACUUAAAUUGUAAUUAAUAAAACAGAUCAAGAUAUAGUCUAUACUAGAGUCUUAAGGUGAGUUACAAUAAGGAAUUAUUUCAGAAUAUCUCUUUAAAUAAAGGUAUAAAGAUGGACUUGAAAGUAAUUAGUAUAUGUGACUACCUAUUGAAUAAAAAAUAGGACGUGUACAAAUCGCCCGUCAUUCUCAUUUUAAAAUGAGACAAGUCGUAACACAGUAGGUGUACCUGAAGGUGUACCU